This is an RNA transcript of Oncorhynchus gorbuscha (pink salmon), 2531 nucleotides long. It is a transcript of the gene named mutY DNA glycosylase, with no coding region annotated. Lineage: Eukaryota; Metazoa; Chordata; Actinopteri; Salmoniformes; Salmonidae. The transcript is spliced from 15 exons. The record is from RefSeq and is a predicted model, not a curated record.
AACAAUUUACAUGUUUACCUCAUUUAUAUUUUUUUUCAGUAGAGAAUAUUGCACAGUCCGGGUUGGAUCUGAUUUAUCUGUAGGGAAACUGUGCAAUGUGAGCAUUGGGCUUACAGGGGAAAAAAUAACGAAAUGGAAUUCAAAUAAUUGAACCGAAGUAGGUCAAUUAGUUGUUUAAAAAAACGAAAAAUAACUCCGGUAAUAGCUCCGCACUACCAGCUAGACUAGAGGGCCUGCGCCAGGGUCCUGAUGUGUUCCAUUAUUGUAGAAAAUAAAUACAUGUUUGCCACAGUAGCUUAUCUUAAGUGCAGUGGCCCCUAUCAAAACGUUCACUUUUAUUUCCACCUAAAUCAACAAUAAAUCCACCGUAAAGGCUAUGCACCUUUAAAUAUAGCGGAUGCGUUUUAGUGGAAGUGUUUUAGCUAGUAGCGGAUUGGACAAACGGCUUCUGGCCCUCCAUAAGUCGCUACAGUGGCGGGAGAUGUCAUGUGCGCUGUCUAUAGGUAAACAAACAACUUGAUCGGAGUAUUGCGUGAACAACAAUAGUGAACAUUGUUGUUGAUUGUGGAUAAUAUAUCCACUAGUAGCUAGUUUAACUUGCCAACUAUACGGACCAAAGCGGGGAGAGAGUUUGUUAUUAUGAGCAGGCUUCGAUCAGCGAUGCAGAAGAGGAAGAGAGUUGCGCUGGACAAAACCGAGUCGUCGUCAGCAAAACCAUUGCGGAAAAGAGCGAAUGCAACUGUGAAACAAGAGCCCGAUGAGACUGCAGCGUCGACAUAUCAUUCAUUCCAUGAUCCUGCUGACAUUGCACUCUUUAGGACACGCAUCCUUUACUGGUAUGACCAGGGGAAGAGAGAGUUACCCUGGAGAACUGUGGCUCUGACAGAACCGGACAUCAACAUCAGGACAUAUGCAGUUUGGGUCUCAGAAAUCAUGCUACAGCAGACCCAGGUUGCCACUGUGAUCGACUACUACAAUAAGUGGAUGAAGCGGUGGCCAACAGUACAGGGUCUUGCAGCGGCUACGUUGGAGGAAGUCAAUCAGAUGUGGGCUGGGCUUGGGUACUACUCCCGGGGAAAGAGACUUCAGGAAGGAGCUCAGAAGGUGGUAGCAGAGCUAGGGGGAGAGAUGCCCAGGACGGUUGAGGCUCUGCUGAAGCAGCUGCCUGGAGUGGGCCGCUACACCGCCGCAGCUGUGGGCUCCAUCGCGCUGGGCCAGGUGACGGGAGCUGUUGAUGGGAAUGUGAUCCGGGUCCUGUGUCGGGUGCGGGCUAUAGGGGCCGACAGUACAAGCCCAGCAGUGACUGAAGCUCUAUGGAGCACCGCCAACACGUUGGUGUCCCAAGAGAGACCAGGGGACUUUAACCAGGCCAUGAUGGAGCUGGGGGCGAGGGUGUGCACCCCUAAAGGCCCCCAGUGCAACCAGUGUCCCAUACAGACUCUCUGCCACUCCUACAGGAAGGUUAGCGUCAAACGAGAGGAGAACUCAACAAAGCUUCUGGGUAAAUUGAACCGGGUACCUGCAUCUCUGCCAGAUGUAGAGGAUUGUGUGACCUCGGGAACAUGUAACCUGUGCCCCACGGAACCCUGGGACAGCCAACUGGGCGUUCAGAACUUCCCCAGGAAGCCGGUGAAGAAAGCUCCUCGUGUGGAGCGCACACUCACCUGUGUGGUGUCCCGGCCAGGAGCAGGAGGAGAUGUCGAGUACCUGCUCACCCAAAGGCCGAGCAAAGGACUUUUGGCUGGUAUGUGGGAGUUCCCUAGCCUGCUCCUGGAGGGGGAGAAUUCUGAGAUGAAACAGAGGGGGGCGCUGUGUGCUGGGGUGGGGAGAUUGUUGGGAGUUCGGCUGGACAACGGGCUGCUCCAGUAUGUGGGGGAGGUGGUUCAUAUCUUCUCCCACAUCCACCAGACAUAUGUUGUGUACAGCCUGUGUUUGAAUGUCUCUGGAGAGGGGAGGGAAAGCCCAGAGUACUACACGCUGGCUCACUAGACCUUCCCUGCAGGAAGCUGCUGUAUCCACUGGAGUGAAGAAGAUCAUGAAGCUGUACGACACUAUGGAGGAUCAAGAGGGACAAGCUACCAAGAAGAAGGCUACUAACACUAAGAGUGAUGGACAGCACAAGUCUAAAAAGCUCAAAGACAAUUCAACAAACAGCGGGACCAGACAGCUGUCACUCAGUUCCUUCUUCAAGAGCCCAAAACAAGAAACUUGAUCAAUUUAUACUUACUCACAAAGAAUAACAAUGUCGUUUUUUAAUUUUAUUUAAAGCUGAUCAAGUACCAUACAAGGACUACUACUGUGCCUUGCUGUCUGGAUAACUGCCACAAGUGGUCUGGGUGUUUAUCCCAUGAGUGGAAUACUUUAAGAGCAAAAAGUGUGUCAUUGAGUUGAAUGCUGAAUACAAUUUUAAACAAAUUAAAAAAAUAACAAAUUGCAACAGUGGCCUCUCAUACAGUUGAAGUCGGAAGUUUAAAUACAACUCAGCCAAGUAUAUUUAAACUCAGUUUAUAACAAUUCCUGACAUUUAAUCC